GGGGAUAUGGCGAAAUUGGUAGACGCUACGGACUAAAAUCCGUCGACUUUUAAAAUCGUGAGGGUUCAAGUCCCUCUAUCCCCA
Molecule: transfer RNA, 84 nt
Filed under: Daphne mezereum
Lineage: Eukaryota; Viridiplantae; Streptophyta; Magnoliopsida; Malvales; Thymelaeaceae
Also listed under: 31 other names
Description: tRNA-Leu
Rfam family: tRNA
About the family: Transfer RNA (tRNA) molecules are approximately 80 nucleotides in length. Their secondary structure includes four short double-helical elements and three loops (D, anti-codon, and T loops). Further hydrogen bonds mediate the characteristic L-shaped molecular structure. tRNAs have two regions of fundamental functional importance: the anti-codon, which is responsible for specific mRNA codon recognition, and the 3' end, to which the tRNAs corresponding amino acid is attached (by aminoacyl-tRNA synthetases). tRNAs cope with the degeneracy of the genetic code in two manners: having more than one tRNA (with a specific anti-codon) for a particular amino acid; and 'wobble' base-pairing, i.e. permitting non-standard base-pairing at the 3rd anti-codon position.
Source: RNAcentral